RNAcentral lists this unclassified non-coding RNA (215 nucleotides) under Hevea brasiliensis (rubber tree). The record is from RNAcentral. Lineage: Eukaryota; Viridiplantae; Streptophyta; Magnoliopsida; Malpighiales; Euphorbiaceae.
CAGUUCCUGAUCGAUCCACCCUCUCGGAGAGAGGACUAUGAGAUGGAUCAGACAAAUGGGGAGGCAAAGAACCUGAACGCACAGACCUGGUCGCCCUCUCUCUGGCUUUCGCCUCCUUCCUUAACCUCCUCUCUUCCGACCCCACCACCUCCUUCAUUUUAGGCGACGGCAUCUCAUUCAUCUCCCACAGCGUCGCCGCCAACUUUCUCGCCGAA